UACGAAGGGGGCUAGCGUUGUUCGGAAUCACUGGGCGUAAAGGGCGCGUAGGCGGCUUUAUAAGUCGGGGGUGAAAGCCUGUGGCUCAACCACAGAAUUGCCUUCGAUACUGUAGAGCUUGAGACCGGAAGAGGUAAGUGGAACUGCGAGUGUAGAGGUGAAAUUCGUAGAUAUUCGCAAGAACACCGGUGGCGAAGGCGGCAUCCUGGACCAACACUGACGCUGAGGAGCGAAAGCCAGGGGAGCAAACGGG
This 253-nucleotide ribosomal RNA is filed under the name uncultured bacterium. RNAcentral describes it as "partial 16S ribosomal RNA". It matches the Rfam family "Bacterial small subunit ribosomal RNA", at positions 524 to 776 of the family's 1533-position model. The record is from RNAcentral.